Long non-coding RNA from Silurus meridionalis, 809 nucleotides. RefSeq lists it as uncharacterized. NCBI's taxonomy places the organism in Eukaryota, Metazoa, Chordata, Actinopteri, Siluriformes, Siluridae. The record is from RefSeq and is a predicted model, not a curated record. The transcript is spliced from 3 exons.
UAUUUAAUCACUUUAUAAUUAAAAAUGUUUUUUUAAUGAGAAAAAAAAGAUUUUGAUAUGACGUUUUAUUGUUGAUUUAGAUUACAGUGGCUCUUAAUACAAGCACUGCUUCAGUAUUACAGUUUGCACUGGGCUCUGGAUCCUGCCAUUUUAGUUAUUCAGAUCCCAGCAUAAUUGUCUCCUGUAGACUAAACAGUUCAAGUGGCUGGACCAUCUUGGAAAAAAUCAGGAACUCAAGUUGCAUCAACAAUGCUUUGGGAACACUUUCACGUGCCCAUGCAUCUGAAUCACAUGUUUAAUCUGUCCACAGCAGGGUGACAUUGCGAACAGGAAGCUAUUAAAUGCACAUGCGGUUUAGACAGUGCUAGCUGCAAUAGAAGGAAGUGCUUUAGGGAUGCAAGGAGUAUGGCCUGGAGACCCAGCGUCUCGUUCCCUGAGAGAACCAGGGUUACAUACUUAACCUAGAGACAUUUGCAGGAACUUUAGCUGCAUCAACAACACUUUGAGAACAAGUGUCUUAUACUGCCAGACUGUUUAGGAAAGCACUCUGUGCGUGUCUGUGUGAGAAAAUAAAUAUGGAAAGCAGGCCUCAGUACCAUCUAUGUGUUCCUACCUAGAUCCAGUGCUUCCCCCAGCGCUCGGAAGCACGCCUUUCGAGACCGGGGAGAAAGCACUGGAUCUGAAAAGGACAAGCCUAUCUCCAAUCUCUUUAGAUCCAGUGCUUACUCAGCCCAUACUCAGCCUGCCUCUUGAGUCCCAAUGUCUCCCCUUUAUGCUAAUGUGGUCUGACUGAAAGAGUGCGGUUAUGG